RNAcentral lists this ribosomal RNA (393 nucleotides) under uncultured bacterium. Its description in RNAcentral is "partial 16S ribosomal RNA". It matches the Rfam family "Bacterial small subunit ribosomal RNA", at positions 523 to 918 of the family's 1533-position model. The record is from RNAcentral.
AUACGGAGGAUGCAAGCGUUAUCCGGAUUUAUUGGGUUUAAAGGGUGCGUAGGCGGUUUGCUAAGCGGGAGGUGAAAUGCCGGCGCUCAACGUCGGAAGUGCCUCCCGAACUGGUGGACUGGAAUGACUCUGCCGUGGGAGGAAUGUGUAGUGUAGCGGUGAAAUGCUUAGAGAUUACACGGAACACCGAUUGCGAAGGCAUCUCACGAAGGGUUGAUUGACGCUGAGGCACGAAAGCGUGGGGAUCAAACAGGAUUAGAUACCCUGGUAGUCCACGCAGUAAACGAUGAUGGCUAACCGCUGGUUUAUUCGGAUCAGUGGCCAAGCGAAAGCGAUAAGCCAUCCACCUGGGGAGUACGACCGCAAGGUUGAAACUCAAAGGAAUUGACGGGG